RNAcentral lists this ribosomal RNA (385 nucleotides) under uncultured bacterium. RNAcentral's name for it is "bacterial SSU rRNA". It matches the Rfam family "Bacterial small subunit ribosomal RNA", at positions 29 to 416 of the family's 1533-position model. The record is from RNAcentral.
AUUGAACGCUGGCGGCAUGCCUUACACAUGCAAGUCGAACGGUAACGCGGGGCAACCUGGCGACGAGUGGCGAACGGGUGAGUAACACAUCGGAACGUGCCCAGUAGUGGGGGAUAGCCCGGCGAAAGCCGGAUUAAUACCGCAUACGACCUAAGGGUGAAAGCAGGGGAUCGCAAGACCUUGCGCUAUUGGAGCGGCCGAUGUCAGAUUAGGUAGUUGGUGGGGGUAAAAGCCUACCAAGCCGACGAUCUGUAGCUGGUCUGAGAGGACGACCAGCCACACUGGGACUGAGACACGGCCCAGACUCCUACGGGAGGCAGCAGUGGGGAAUUUUGGACAAUGGGCGCAAGCCUGAUCCAGCCAUGCCGCGUGCGGGAAGAAGGCC